Molecule: long non-coding RNA, 181 nt
Filed under: Chinchilla lanigera (long-tailed chinchilla)
Lineage: Eukaryota; Metazoa; Chordata; Mammalia; Rodentia; Chinchillidae
Description: lncRNA (ENSCLAG00000027269.1)
Source: RNAcentral
AAUUAUUAAAAAUAAUUAAUUAUUUUUAAUAAUAAUUAAUUGACUGUCUACUAUGUACCUAGAUCCUGCUGAUGGAACAGUGAACAAGACACAAGACCUGGCCUUGAAUUCACAUUUCAUUGACAUAAUAGGUGCUCAGCAAACAGGAAGUUCACUGCAUCUCAGUCCUACUGGGGUUUAA